CCUACAGGUGGCUGCAGUGAGGAAUAUUGGUCAAUGGACGAGAGUCUGAACCAGCCACGUAGCGUGAAGGAUGACUGCCCUCUGGGUUGUAAACUUCUUUUAUAAAGGAAUAAAACGAGGCACGUGUGCCUUUUUGCAUGUACUUUAUGAAUAAGGAUCGGCUAACUCCGUGCCAGCAGCCGCGGUAAUACGGAGGAUCCGAGCGUUAUCCGGAUUUAUUGGGUUUAAAGUGAGCGUAGAUGGGUUGUUAAGUCAGUUGUGAAAGUUUGCGGCUCAACCGUAAAAUUGCAAUUGUUACUGGCAGUCUUGAGUACAGUUGAGGUAGGCGGAAUUCGUGGGGUAGCGGGGAAAUGCGUAGAUAUCACGAAGAACCCCGAUUGCGAAGGCAGCUUACUAAACUGUGACUGACAUUGAUGCUCGAAAGUGUGGGUAUCAAACAGGAUUAGAUACCCGAGUAGUC
RNAcentral lists this ribosomal RNA (460 nucleotides) under uncultured bacterium. Its description in RNAcentral is "partial 16S ribosomal RNA". It matches the Rfam family "Bacterial small subunit ribosomal RNA", at positions 338 to 795 of the family's 1533-position model. The record is from RNAcentral.